AAGGUGCGAUUCGAGCGCAGCGAGAAAGCGUUGCCGCAGGCAACGACCCGAAGGGCGAAGCGCGCAGCGCUGAGUCAUCCUUCCCCCACCACCA
RNAcentral lists this small RNA (94 nucleotides) under Salmonella enterica subsp. enterica serovar Enteritidis. Its description in RNAcentral is "partial RtT sRNA". It matches the Rfam family "RtT RNA", at positions 38 to 130 of the family's 130-position model. From Rfam's summary of the family: This family represents a bacterial cis-regulatory element known as RtT RNA. Lineage: Bacteria; Pseudomonadati; Pseudomonadota; Gammaproteobacteria; Enterobacterales; Enterobacteriaceae. The record is from RNAcentral.